AAAGGCUUAGUGGCGGACGGGUGAGUAACGCGUGGGUAACCUGGCCCAUACAGGGGGAUAACACUUAGAAAUAGGUGCUAAUACCGCAUAACAACAGAAAGCGCAUGCUUUUUGUUUGAAAACCAAGGUGGUAUGGGAUGGACCCGCGUCUGAUUAGCUGGUUGGCGGGGUAAAGGCCCACCAAGGCGACGAUCAGUAGCCGGCCUGAGAGGGUGGACGGCCACAUUGGGACUGAGACACGGCCCAAACUCCUACGGAAGGCAGCAG
This 267-nucleotide ribosomal RNA is filed under the name uncultured bacterium. RNAcentral's name for it is "partial 16S ribosomal RNA". It matches the Rfam family "Bacterial small subunit ribosomal RNA", at positions 86 to 354 of the family's 1533-position model. The record is from RNAcentral.